CAUUUCUUAUAUUGUUCUGGUAAAAUAAAAGCUGAGCUGGUUGCUAUGGGCAACAAAGAUAAUCUAACUAUAGGAUGGCUGGAUAAAUCUCAUAACACUGGCCCAUAGAAACCACAGUGCAGAUUGAGAAAUAAAAGCCGAGUUUUGGAUGGUUGCUAUUGGCAACAAGGCCAAUUUUACUAUUAGGCCAUUUUAAUUAAUGAGACCCACUGACUUUUAUACAAAAAAGCAAACAGACAGGACAUAGUGUCGCUAGAUUACACUCAAGACUAUGAAAAUUGGUCUUCACCAAAAUGGCCGUUUAGAUUGAGUUUUGCACCCUGCGAUGGAGACAGUUUAUUAUUGUAACUGGAACUCGUGUCUACGGUUUGCUGAAAGGAAAGGCUUGGACGUAAAGAAGCUAAAUUAUCUCUCAUAUAAAUUGUCCAGUGACACCAACCAGAAAGAAUGUGGCGUAGACAGAAGUUUGAUAAGAAACUACAGCCAGGAUUGGAAGAAUUACGGAUACAGCACAGAGAACGAGAGACAGGUUGCACAGCUUGUUAAAGACAUUCACGGAUCAGCUGACAAGUUAAAGUCACUUAUUUCUCUCCGUCAAAGUCUCCGAAAUAAAGAUGUGCAGCUGAUGUUCAUCAGGGCAGAGGGCAGCAUGCGGGUUCUGAUCGGGUUAUUCACAUGUCAGUUUUCCAAUAUUCAGAUGGAAGCACUGAGAUGCCUGCAUGAGCUCUCCAACACCAAUGAUCCAGCCGUCUGGAAAGCAUGCCUUCCUGCAACCCCAUACCUUCUGACAUAUUUAUCAGGGAGCAGUCCAGAGUUCCUGGAGCUAUGCCUGUAUACAUUGGGCAACCUGAUUGUGGAAAGUGAGACCGCGAGAAACCAAUUACUUCUGCAAGGGAUCAUUCCUUCCUUUAUGUUGUGUACACAGUCCCCUCACGUGGCUGUAUUAGAAGCCACUGGCUAUGCACUUUCUCAGUUACUGCAAGCAAAAGAAGCCCCAGAGAAAAUAGUUCCGAUUGUCCUACAGUCUGGACUCAUACAGGAUAUUCUUAGGCUGUUGCUUUGUAGUUCAGAAGACGGUUUUGGAAUGAUGAUUGAAUUUGCUUGGUGUCUCCAUUACAUUGUUAGCAGCCAGGUGAAUAACAUGUUGCUGAUCUCUCAAGGUGUUUUAUCCAAUCUGAUGACUUUGCUUAUUAAACUAGCUGACCUUGUUACGAAAACGUCAUUUCCAGGCAUUGAACUGCUGCUUUGCCCAGUAGUACGUUGCGUGGGAAAUUUUCUAACUGAAGUUGAUUCUUCAGGCAACAAGAUUCAGAUUCAAGAUGGCCGACUCCUUGUGGCCUUGUUUGUUCUCAUGCAACAAUUUCAGAAGGAACAUACAUUCAUGGUGAAGGAGUGUCUGUGGACCCUUAAUAACCUCACAGUGGAUGACCCUGUUGUGUCCUCUGCAUUGCUGCACUUAAACCUGAUUCCUGUUCUGUUGCAGUUCUUUGGUCAUUUUACAGAUAUUAUUGUGCUGGUUCUCACAGUGUUAUGUAACAUAGCAAACUUUGGGCCUGCUUAUUGUCAGCGUCUUCAAGAAAAAGAUCUUCUGUCCAGUCUGACUCUCCUACUUGGCAGCGAAGAUGUGUUGGUGACAAUUCGCUGCUUAGAUCUGAUGAACAUCUUCUUGCGUUACUGUCCAGAGGGAUGGAGUUUAUAGAAAACCAAUUAGAAAAAACAGGGGCAACCAAUCCGAAGGUAGAUGGAGGCACUGGCGGCUGGUCGGGAUGUGAAAUGUAUAUGGUGGUGAAUAUAAGCAGUACGGAGGACAACCAUGUUCUCGAUGAAGGAAAGGAAGAGCGGAAAGACUAUCAUAUCAAGACUGAAAAAGACAUCCUUGUGCAUUCUAUAUUACAAAUUCCAGAAAUCCAUAAGCAUCACCCCGAGAUACAACAGCGUAUGGAAGCAAUCCAACAUUACUGUACCCUAAUGAUAAACGAUGACAACGCAGGGACUUCA
Hyla sarda is the source of this 1998-nucleotide RNA transcript. It is a transcript of the gene named transmembrane and coiled-coil domains 6, with no coding region annotated. The transcript has 15 exons. NCBI's taxonomy places the organism in Eukaryota, Metazoa, Chordata, Amphibia, Anura, Hylidae. The record is from RefSeq and is a predicted model, not a curated record.